AGCCACCGGUCCGAGUGUCAGGUGAACUGAACUUCAGACAGCGAGUGAUGGACAGAAUGACACUGCAGAGUUUCUGUGCUCAGAGCUGCCAAAUGAGGACACAUCCCAGAAACACAGUGACAUCUGCUGCGUUGUAAAAUGCUGCUGUUGUUCCCUUUUAUGGCUCUGGAUUUGCUUUUUGGAGGACAUAAAGCGAGCAAUAGAAGCCUGACAAUUUCAAGAGGGAGGAAAAAAGGAGAGAAGGCAAAGAGAUGACAGCACAUGACCAUACUGUUAAAUAUCCCUCGGAAUGAAACGCUCGAAGGGAUUUGACUUUAUUCCUUCUUUAAAUACUGCAUCUAUGCUAAAGAAGGCCUGACGGAUGCAAUCUUAAAACACUAUUUUUAUAUUUUACCCACUCAUCCCUCCGCUAACAACAGGAACAACCACAGUUCUCUUUUCUACUGUGUGUCCUGCACUAUUACUUCAUGUGUCUUAUUUGUGAAAACCUGGAAGAAGGUGGGAAACAACAGUCACAUAAAUGAAGGUGCAGAACUGAAAUACUGACGAGGCAGAAUUAAAAAACGUCAUCUUAAA
Long non-coding RNA from Oreochromis aureus, 576 nucleotides. RefSeq lists it as uncharacterized. The record is from RefSeq and is a predicted model, not a curated record. NCBI's taxonomy places the organism in Eukaryota, Metazoa, Chordata, Actinopteri, Cichliformes, Cichlidae. The transcript has 2 exons.